RNAcentral lists this ribosomal RNA (496 nucleotides) under uncultured bacterium. RNAcentral's name for it is "partial 16S ribosomal RNA". It matches the Rfam family "Bacterial small subunit ribosomal RNA", at positions 28 to 506 of the family's 1533-position model. The record is from RNAcentral.
GAUGAACGCUGGCGGCGUGCCUAAUACAUGCAAGUCGAGCGAACAGACGAGGAGCUUGCUCCUCUGACGUUAGCGGCGGACGGGUGAGUAACACGUGGAUAACCUACCUAUAAGACUGGGAUAACUUCGGGAAACCGGAGCUAAUACCGGAUAAUAUAUUGAACCGCAUGGUUCAAUAGUGAAAGACGGUUUUGCUGUCACUUAUAGAUGGAUCCGCGCCGCAUUAGCUAGUUGGUAAGGUAACGGCCUACCAAGGCAACGAUGCGUAGCCGACCUGAGAGGGUGAUCGGCCACACUGGAACUGAGCCACGGUCCAGACCCCUACGGGAGGCAGCAGUAGGGAAUCUUCCGCAAUGGGCGAAAGCCUGACGGAGCAACGCCGCGUGAGUGAGGAAGGUCUUCGGAUCGUAAAACUCUGUUAUUAGGGAAGAACAAAUGUGUAAGUAACUAUGCACGUCUUGACGGUACCUAAUCAGAAAGCCACGGCUAACUACGU